UGGGGAAUAUUGCACAAUGGGGGAAACCCUGAUGCAGCGACGCCGCGUGAACGAAGAAGGUAUUCGUAUCGUAAAGUUCUGUCCUAUGGGAAGAUAAUGACAGUACCAUAGAAGAAAGCUCCGGCUAAAUACGUGCCAGCAGCCGCGGUAAUACGUAUGGAGCGAGCGUUGUCCGGAAUUAUUGGGCGUAAAGGGUACGCAGGCGGUUUAAUAAGUCGAAUGUUAAAGAUCGGGGCUCAACCCCGCAAAGCGUUGGAAACUGAUAAACUUGAGUAGUGGAGAGGAAAGUGGAAUUCCUAGUGUAGUGGUGAAAUACGUAGAUAUUAGGAGGAAUACCAGUAGCGAAGGCGACUUUCUGGACACAAACUGACGCUGAGGUACGAAAGCGUGGGGAGCAAACAGG
Molecule: ribosomal RNA, 403 nt
Filed under: bacterium
Lineage: Bacteria
Description: partial 16S ribosomal RNA
Rfam family: Bacterial small subunit ribosomal RNA
Source: RNAcentral